Molecule: ribosomal RNA, 494 nt
Filed under: uncultured bacterium
Lineage: Bacteria
Description: partial 16S ribosomal RNA
Rfam family: Bacterial small subunit ribosomal RNA
Source: RNAcentral
GACGAACGCUGGCGGCGUGCUUAACACAUGCAAGUCGAACGGUGAAGCGCCUUCCUUUUUGGUGGGUGUGGUUGAGUGGCGAACGGGUGAGUAACACGUCAGUAACCUUCCCCCUUCUUCUGGAUAACCGCAUGAAAGUGUGGCUAAUAUGGGAUAUUCUGGUUCUGUCGCAUGAUGGGUCUGGGAAAGAUAUUGUUUCGGUGGGGGAUGGGCCCGCGUCCUAUCAGUUUGUUGGUGGGGUGAUGGCCUACCAAGGCGGGGACGGGUAGCCGGCCUGGGAGGGUGGGCGGCUUCGCUGGGGAUGGGCCCCCGCCAGGACUACUAGGGGCGCCAGCCGCGGACAAUAUUGCGCAGUGGGGGCAAGCCUGAUGCAGCGCCGCCGCGUGAGAGAUGGAGGCCUGCGGGUUGUGAACCUCUUUCGCCAGUGAAGCAUGCCUGCCUGGUUUGUGGGUGGGUUGACGGUAGCUGGAAAAGAAGCCCCGGCUAACUACGUG